RNAcentral lists this ribosomal RNA (550 nucleotides) under Leptocylindrus danicus. Its description in RNAcentral is "partial Bacterial small subunit ribosomal RNA". It matches the Rfam family "Bacterial small subunit ribosomal RNA", at positions 1 to 560 of the family's 1533-position model. The record is from RNAcentral. Lineage: Eukaryota; Bacillariophyta; Leptocylindrophyceae; Leptocylindrales; Leptocylindraceae.
AAUAUGAGUUUGAUCCUGGCUCAGAAUGAACGCUAGUAAUAUGCUUUACACAUGCAAGUUGAACGAAAAUUUUCGUAGCGGACGGGUGAGUAAUAUGUAAAAUUUUACCUUUUAGUAUAGGAUAAGCAAAACUCUAAUAACAACUUUAUUGAUUAUUAUGGGAUAAAAUAUAUUAUUUUGUAAAUACUAUAUAAUUUGGAAGCAAAAAAAGAUAUCUUUAAUAUCGCUAAAAGAUAAAUUUGCAUAAGAUUAGGUAGUUGAUAAUUGUAUAAUUAUCAAGCCGAUGAUCUUUAAUUGAUCUUAGAGGAUGAUCAAUCACACUGGAACUGAGAUAAGGUCCAGGCUAAUAUUAGCCAGCAGUGAGGAAUAUUGGACAAUGAACGAAAGUUUGAUCCAGCAAUAUUACUUGAAUGAAGACAGCUUUUUUUGGUUGUAAAGUUCUUUCAUUAAAAAUGAUAAUGACAUUAUUUAAAGAAUUAGUCCCGGCUAAUCUCGUGCCAGCAGCCGCGGUAAUACGUAGGUGGCAAGCGUUGUCCGGAUUUAUUGGGCG